GAAGUGAAGUUUGUUGGAUGAGGAAGAAUAGAAAUUGUUUUGAAAGGAGAGGAGUGUAUAACUAUAGGCCAAUUAGUGAUGAAUUGGAAGCAAUUCACUUUGAUAUACCUGCUUCUUUGUUGGGUACAGUGACGUAAACAACGAUGCUUGGCACAGUGUUUUCCAUUCUUAUAAUAUUAGUGCGAUGAUAGCCCUGCGCUUUGCUACCUGAACUCAACCUGAAAGAAAGCAAAUUAAAUUUAUUUAUCAGACAGACAGACAGUAUUAUUACAAAAACAAAACCCUAGAAAUUGGGUUGGGGGAAAAGUACCGAGGAGGGGUGGAGAGAGUAAAGGAGAAGGGAUGGAGUUUGUGAAAGCCUAAGCUCAGCAUACAAAAGGCACCCACUAAAGGUAAUCGCCGACGAACCCCCGCCGAUGUCAGUCUAGAAAGUGCCAUUUCCGAACCCAACCUUUGUAUUCACAUGAUUCUUAUUUUUCUCAUUCUCUUGGGCUGCUCCAAUGGCCCAUUA
RNAcentral lists this long non-coding RNA (511 nucleotides) under Helianthus annuus (common sunflower). RNAcentral describes it as "hypothetical non coding rna". The record is from RNAcentral. Lineage: Eukaryota; Viridiplantae; Streptophyta; Magnoliopsida; Asterales; Asteraceae.